RNAcentral lists this long non-coding RNA (2032 nucleotides) under Mus musculus (house mouse). RNAcentral's name for it is "long non-coding RNA chr3:106567604-106569636". The record is from RNAcentral. Lineage: Eukaryota; Metazoa; Chordata; Mammalia; Rodentia; Muridae.
AAUAUUCAACAAAAUGAAUGAUGGGAAGUAAGGGUCCUCAGUGCCACUUAGAAAAAUGUUUCCCGUGUGGGAGAGUUAUCCUGCAGGAGGUUUGGAAGGGUUAGUAAGUAGGAAGAUAUGGGUUACCUUUCUAUGGUUGACAUUUGAAGAUAUCAGUAAUUGGAUAGCUUCAAGAAGAAACAAUCUUUCAAAGGCAAAAAUAUUCCCUUCCAUGCUCGCCUACACUGCUGGCUGGUCCAGACCUUUUGUAAAUCAUCAUAAGGGUCCUUAGUAACCUUAAGCUUUUUUCCUAGUAUCUAAAAUUAUGAAACAAGAUAUAAUAAUAAGCUGCAGAUUUGUUUUAAUAUCUAGUUUAUUUAUAAAAAAAUAAAACUGAUAGCUACGCAUGUAUAUUGUUAACUUUUUAAAUUGAAAAUAGUUUUCUGAUAACAAUUUCCCCUCCCUCAUCUUUUCCUAGGUCUUCCCCACUCCUCUACCCUUCCAGCUAUCUAACUCUACACCUUCUUUCUCUCUUUAAAAAACAAACAGGCCAAUAAUAAUUUCUAAAAAAUAGAAAGAACAAAGGAACCAAAAUAAAACCACCAACAAACAGAACAAACAAAAAGUAGGAAAAACACAAAACAUAUGCACACACAAAUUAAAUACAGAAAAACCAUUUAAACACAAAAUUGGGAACAAAAGGUUAAAAAUGCCCAAACAAAGCAUUAUGGGACAAAAAAAAAUCACCAAAAAUACCAUUGAGUUUGUUUUGUGUUGCUCAUCUAUUGCCGAAUAAAAGGUUUGUUCUUAAAUGUGCUUUGUAUACCCUGCAGAGAUUCCAUUGGAGAAACGUUUUUCUUUGUGAGAAGUUGUUAAGUUCAGAUAGCUUUUUGGUUAGGGAUGGGGGCUCAUGUCCACUUUUACUCUCAGUGCUGGAACCUCAUCUGGCUUGGACCUGGCCAGGUCCCAGGAAUGCUGCCAGUUUCUGUGAGUUCAUACAUGUGUCAGUUCAGUUGUGUCUAGAAAGCACUGUUUCCUUGAUGUCUUCAUCUCCUCUGGUUCUUACACUCUUUUCUUCCUCUUUGACCUAACUCCCUGAACCCUGAGGGAAGGAGUUUGAUGAAGUCAUCCCAUUUAGGACUUAGUGUUCCAAGGUUUCUUACUCUCUGCAUAAUAAUUUCCAUCUCCUGUAGGAGGAAGCUUCUCUGAUUAUAACUGAGUGAGACCCUAACCUAUGAAUAUAGCCCAAUGUCAUUAAAAGUCAUUUUAUUGCUAUGUCCCUUUGGUAGAACAAUAGUAGUUGGUUUUUCCCUAGGUCUAUGACCUAUCCCAGGUUCUUGGCCACUCCAGCAAGGUCAGGCAUGGGUUCCAUCUCAUAAUCAGUUAGUGGUUGGUUACUCCUACAACUUUUGUACCACUGUUGAACCAGCAUAUCUUGCAGGCAGAUGACCAUUGUAGAAUGAAUAGUUUGCAAUUGGGUUAGUGUACUGCAGAAUACACCCUCCUGUUCCAUGAACACUAGUCAGUGGGGGGAAAGGCUCUAGUUAAGCAACAGCAUGGCUUCUCCAUGUUCAGUGAGAUUUGUAGGUGUUGUCUUCAGCAAAAGGGCCUUACCAUCAGUUUGUAGAGAGCAAACAGUAGCUUUGACAAGAUCCCGAGUUGCUUAGAGGUUCUUGUGGGACCCCUUUGACCAGCAGCUCAAUUAGAUGUAACCUGUUCCUGGCACUGUAAGUUUUGCUUGAUGAUAACAGAUGUCUUCUUGUGGCUUUAUAUCCCCCUGUUACUUGAUCCUGUUUAACUUAUUUAAUAAGUGUAUAUAGUUUAAGAAGCUUCUACUCCCAUGGGUUUCCAUAAGACCCCUCAAAUAACUGUGAGUGAUACCUGUCUAUCCUUACCCUCCUCUUUUCCUUCCCAUUUCCAUUUAAUUUUAUAGGCCUCUAUUUCAAGUUUCAAUAUUUUCCCUCUACUCUUUAUUUUAUACUUUUACUAUAAGAGUUUUGCUAAGGAACUAUAUAGUGGCAUUGAUUGGGCUAUGCCUAUAUUUAGUUUUAUC